CUACGGGUUGCACCAGUGAGGAAUAUUGCACAAUGGGGGGAACCCUGAUGCAGCAACGCCGCGUGGAGGAUGACGCAUUUCGGUGUGUAAACUCCUUUUAUAUGUCAAGAAAAUGACGGUAGCAUAUGAAUAAGCACCGGCUAACUCCGUGCCAGCAGCCGCGGUAAUACGGAGGGGUGCAAGCGUUACUCGGAAUCACUGGGCGUAAAGGACGCGUAGGCGGGUUGGAAAGUCAGGUGUGAAAUCCUACAGCUUAACUGUAGAACUGCACUUGAAACUUCUAAUCUAGAGUAUGGGAGGGGGAGAUGGAAUUAGUGGUGUAGGGGUAAAAUCCGUAGAUAUCACUAGGAAUACCUAAAGCGAAGGCGAUCUCCUGGAACAUUACUGACGCUAAGGCGUGAAAGCGUGGGGAGCAAACAGGAUUAGAUACCCCUGUAGUC
Molecule: ribosomal RNA, 440 nt
Filed under: uncultured bacterium
Lineage: Bacteria
Description: partial 16S ribosomal RNA
Rfam family: Bacterial small subunit ribosomal RNA
Source: RNAcentral